RNAcentral lists this non-coding RNA (50 nucleotides) under Trypanosoma brucei brucei. The record is from RNAcentral. Lineage: Eukaryota; Euglenozoa; Kinetoplastea; Trypanosomatida; Trypanosomatidae.
AAAUACAAAAAUCAGCAAGAAAGAGAGUAAGAUUGUGAUUAAUAUAUAGU